RNAcentral lists this ribosomal RNA (1484 nucleotides) under Lactiplantibacillus plantarum. RNAcentral's name for it is "bacterial SSU rRNA". It matches the Rfam family "Bacterial small subunit ribosomal RNA". The record is from RNAcentral. Lineage: Bacteria; Bacillati; Bacillota; Bacilli; Lactobacillales; Lactobacillaceae.
AGGACGUGGCCGGCGGUGCCUAAUACAUGCAAGUCGAACGAACUCUGGUAUUGAUUGGUGCUUGCAUCAUGAUUUACAUUUGAGUGAGUGGCGAACUGGUGAGUAACACGUGGGAAACCUGCCCAGAAGCGGGGGAUAACACCUGGAAACAGAUGCUAAUACCGCAUAACAACUUGGACCGCAUGGUCCGAGUUUGAAAGAUGGCUUCGGCUAUCACUUUUGGAUGGUCCCGCGGCGUAUUAGCUAGAUGGUGGGGUAACGGCUCACCAUGGCAAUGAUACGUAGCCGACCUGAGAGGGUAAUCGGCCACAUUGGGACUGAGACACGGCCCAAACUCCUACGGGAGGCAGCAGUAGGGAAUCUUCCACAAUGGACGAAAGUCUGAUGGAGCAACGCCGCGUGAGUGAAGAAGGGUUUCGGCUCGUAAAACUCUGUUGUUAAAGAAGAACAUAUCUGAGAGUAACUGUUCAGGUAUUGACGGUAUUUAACCAGAAAGCCACGGCUAACUACGUGCCAGCAGCCGCGGUAAUACGUAGGUGGCAAGCGUUGUCCGGAUUUAUUGGGCGUAAAGCGAGCGCAGGCGGUUUUUUAAGUCUGAUGUGAAAGCCUUCGGCUCAACCGAAGAAGUGCAUCGGAAACUGGGAAACUUGAGUGCAGAAGAGGACAGUGGAACUCCAUGUGUAGCGGUGAAAUGCGUAGAUAUAUGGGAAGAACACCCAGUGGCGAAGGCGGCUGUCUGGUCUGUAACUGACGCUGAGGCUCGAAAGUAUGGGUAGCAAACAGGAUUAGAUACCCUGGUAGUCCAUACCGUAAACGAUGAAUGCUAAGUGUUGGAGGGUUUCCGCCCUUCAGUGCUGCAGCUAACGCAUUAAGCAUUCCGCCUGGGGAGUACGGCCGCAAGGCUGAAACUCAAAGGAAUUGACGGGGGCCCGCACAAGCGGUGGAGCAUGUGGUUUAAUUCGAAGCUACGCGAAGAACCUUACCAGGUCUUGACAUACUAUGCAAAUCUAAGAGAUUAGACGUUCCCUUCGGGGACAUGGAUACAGGUGGUGCAUGGUUGUCGUCAGCUCGUGUCGUGAGAUGUUGGGUUAAGUCCCGCAACGAGCGCAACCCUUAUUAUCAGUUGCCAGCAUUAAGUUGGGCACUCUGGUGAGACUGCCGGUGACAAACCGGAGGAAGGUGGGGAUGACGUCAAAUCAUCAUGCCCCUUAUGACCUGGGCUACACACGUGCUACAAUGGAUGGUACAACGAGUUGCGAACUCGCGAGAGUAAGCUAAUCUCUUAAAGCCAUUCUCAGUUCGGAUUGUAGGCUGCAACUCGCCUACAUGAAGUCGGAAUCGCUAGUAAUCGCGGAUCAGCAUGCCGCGGUGAAUACGUUCCCGGGCCUUGUACACACCGCCCGUCACACCAUGAGAGUUUGUAACACCCAAAGUCGGUGGGGUAACCUUUUAGGAACCAGCCGCCUAAGGUGGACCAAGAUAUG